CAUUCAUCAGCUGGGAAAAAUCAUUCUAAGAGUUAUUCUAAUGAUAUCGUUCCUCUGUGUUGUUAUCAUUAUAACCUAGUUGUAGUGUGGACUUCUCAUAGUAUUAGAGCGAUUUGUAAAACUUCAUCAUUAUAGUUAAUGCCCUUGGCUUGAACAAGCCUAAAGUCUGUAGUUUUGUUCAUAGAUUUUGAGGAUAAUCGACUUUUAACCUGUUCGUGUUGCUUCUGUUGAGAAGUUGCAACAACAACAUAUAUGGGCCAGCGUGGAGCUCUAGAUGAGCGGCGAUGCUGUGAAAGCGUGCCAGACAUCAGCCCGACAUAUGCAGCAGCACCUGGACACGCACGCACGCUGCGAGCUCAACCACAGGAUUAAUUCACUUCAGAAAUCUGUGACUGAACCACUGAAACACACAGGGUUCAUGAGCAGGCUAUCCACACCAGCAGAUAUUUAUGAAAACAUUUUUUUUAAAUCAGGCAAAUAUCCGUCAGCUUUCAUCCUGAAGGUCCUCUUCCAUAUUUUUCCUUCUGUGAUUUGUGAGACAGAAGAGAGCGAAAUGCUGCAACGCUCCCAGCAUCUUCAACUUGAUUUUCCCUCUCAAGAGUGUCAACAAGCUCCCAGCUGCUUCAGGAAGGGAAUGUUUUAGCAGCUCAGCGGAUGCAGAAAAUCAAGAACACUAACUGGAAAUUGUCUCUAAGAUGCUGGGGUUAGUGAUGGAUGACUGCGUGAAAAGAAACACAGCGGCCUAUAAAGACGCUCACGUCUGCACUCUAUAUUAUGCUGCCGUCUUAACACUCAAAAAAUAUAUUUAUUUAUGCAUGCCUAAAUUUCAGAUUUAUGUAUUUGAUUUGCAUAUAACAUUUUUGUGCACUUGGAUUAAACAGUUUUAACAUGAACAAACCAG
This is a long non-coding RNA of Sinocyclocheilus anshuiensis, 901 nucleotides long. The record is from Ensembl. NCBI's taxonomy places the organism in Eukaryota, Metazoa, Chordata, Actinopteri, Cypriniformes, Cyprinidae.